UUCAGCAAGUGGGGGCGGAGGUCUCAGCGAGCAAUCGGCUGGAUGUACUGUGGAUUUUAUUUCAUCGCCAUCGAUGGUGGAUAGGCACCUAUCGGCAUUGGCGUUCCUAUUCAAGUUCAAUGAGUGGGAAGACGUGAUGAAACAUUUUAUGGUGAGGCAAGCGGUUCAGGGUUUCAGGAGGGGUAAGAAGGUAAGAGAUACGAGGAGACCAGUUUCGUUCACAGUACUGCAAGGGUUGGUGGGCAAGUUACCAG
This is a non-coding RNA of Pelobates cultripes (western spadefoot toad), 254 nucleotides long. NCBI's taxonomy places the organism in Eukaryota, Metazoa, Chordata, Amphibia, Anura, Pelobatidae. The record is from the annotation of a GenBank genome assembly.